This 74-nucleotide transfer RNA is filed under the name Alphaproteobacteria bacterium. Its description in RNAcentral is "tRNA-Cys". It matches the Rfam family "tRNA". Rfam says of the family: Transfer RNA (tRNA) molecules are approximately 80 nucleotides in length. RNAcentral also lists the same sequence under 3 other names. The record is from RNAcentral. Lineage: Bacteria; Pseudomonadati; Pseudomonadota; Alphaproteobacteria.
GGCCGGAUAGCAUAGUGGUGAUGCACGGGACUGCAAAUCCUGUUACGCCGGUUCGAUUCCGGCUCCGGCCUCCA